Long non-coding RNA from Gossypium raimondii (Peruvian cotton), 639 nucleotides. RefSeq lists it as uncharacterized. Lineage: Eukaryota; Viridiplantae; Streptophyta; Magnoliopsida; Malvales; Malvaceae. The record is from RefSeq and is a predicted model, not a curated record. The transcript has 2 exons.
AGAAGGAAAAAGAAGAAAAAAGGCCUGUCCAGCAGCAGGCCCAACUCAGGCAGUCCAGCAGCAGCAUAGCAGGCCCUCCAGCAGCAGCCAGGCCCAGCGUCUAGCAGCCAGCAGCCCACUGCAGUCAGCAGCAGCCCAGUAGGCCCAAUCCGCCCAGCAGCCCAGCGACGCAGCCCAGCAAGCCCAAGUCCAACAGGCCAGCCAAAAAAGGAAAAAAGAAAAAAGAGAAGAAGAAAAAAAGGAAAAGACCCAAAAUUGAAGCCCAUAACUUUGGGUUUUUGGCAUCUAAUUCGGAAGGUGUUGAUUAGAGAUUGGUUGCCAAAAAUGGGUUUCUGAUGGAGGAGUCAAUUACGCAAGUAACUGAGAAAAAUGUUGUAGUCCGAGACUGGUUUUGAGGACCUAGAAAGUAAAAGGGAAUAGUUUAAAGGAAUGAUAUAUCUUCAAUCUUCCCGGGAAGACGACUUUGAAUGCUCGUCAGAAUAACCCCGAAGACUUGACUAGGAUCUGGAAAUAAUGAGACUCAGGCACUAGGGGCAUCUUUAUUGGCAAAAAUAUUUUGUAAUGGACUCUUUUGAUUAACGAAACGCCUAAUUAUGGGGCUAUCUUGAAAUCAAUACCAAAUUCUUGCAUAUUUAUUCA